GAUGAACGCUGGCGGCGUGCUUAACACAUGCAAGUCGAACGAAGCACUUAAUGAGAUUUCUUCGGAUUGAUUAUUUUGUGACUGAGUGGCGGACGGGUGAGUAACGCGUGGGUAACCUGCCCCAGACCGGGGGAUAACAGUCGGAAACGACUGCUAAUACCGCAUAAGCGCACAGUGCCGCAUGGCACGGUGUGAAAAACUCCGGUGGUCUGGGAUGGACCCGCGUCCGAUUAGUUAGUUGGCGGGGUAACGGCCCACCAAGACCGCGAUCGGUAGCCGACCUGAGAGGGUGACCGGCCACAUUGGGACUGAGACACGGCCCAGACUCCUACGGGAGGCAGCAGUGGGGAAUAUUGCACAAUGGAGGAAACUCUGAUGCAGCGACGCCGCGUGAGCGAAGAAGUAUUUCGGUAUGUAAAGCUCUGUCAGCAGGGAAGAUAAUGACGGUACCUGACCAAGAAGCCCGGCUAACUACGUG
This 478-nucleotide ribosomal RNA is filed under the name uncultured bacterium. RNAcentral describes it as "bacterial SSU rRNA". It matches the Rfam family "Bacterial small subunit ribosomal RNA", at positions 28 to 507 of the family's 1533-position model. The record is from RNAcentral.